RNAcentral lists this ribosomal RNA (464 nucleotides) under uncultured bacterium. RNAcentral's name for it is "partial 16S ribosomal RNA". It matches the Rfam family "Bacterial small subunit ribosomal RNA", at positions 28 to 507 of the family's 1533-position model. The record is from RNAcentral.
GACGAACGCUGGCGGCGUGCUUAACACAUGCCAGUCGAACGGUAAGGCCUUUCGGGGUCAUACGAGUGGCGAACGGGUGAGUAACACGUGAGCAACCUGCCCUUGACUUCGGAAUACCAGCUGGAAACAGCUGCUAAUACCGGAUAUGACCCUGGUCCUCCUGGACUGGGGUGGAAAGCUCCGGCGGUCAGGGAUGGGCUCGCGGCCUAUCAGCUUGUUGGUGAGGUAAUGGCUCACCAAGGCUUCGACGGGUAGCCGGCCUGAGAGGGCGACCGGCCACACUGGGACUGAGAUACGGCCCAGACUCCUACGGGAGGCAGCAGUGGGGAAUAUUGCACAAUGGGCGCAAGCCGGAUGCAGCAACGCCGCGGGCGGGAGGACGGCCUUCGGGUUGUAAACCGCGUUCAGUAGGGACGAAGCCACAAGUGACGGUACCUACAGAAGAAGGACCGGCUAACUACGUG